RNAcentral lists this long non-coding RNA (909 nucleotides) under Gallus gallus (chicken). The record is from RNAcentral. Lineage: Eukaryota; Metazoa; Chordata; Aves; Galliformes; Phasianidae.
AACUUGUUCUUGAUAGAGCACUCUGUCUCGUCCAAAAGAAUCAAGAUUUGGUGCCAUGAGCGCUUUAUCUUCAAGAUGGACUGACUUGAAUGGCUUGAAAACUCCGAAGAUUCAUCUUUAAUAUCAUCUUGUCGUCUUUGGACAAGGCGGGAAGCUCGCUGUUUGUACAGCUGGUGCAUUGCAGAUUCAAGUUCAUUAAUCAGAGGCACCUUUUCACUGAAACACUCAAGCAAGUCUUGGACAUACCCUCGCAUUUCUUGCAAAAACUUAUACUGUUCACCAAUACCCCCAGAAGACCCUUCUAAUCUUUCAAUUGCCUUGGUAGAGUCCUCUCGGCUUUGCUGAUGUUUCUCAAACUGCUGCCGAUUAGCUUUGUGCAAUUCUUUCAUAGAGUCCAACCUGUCUUUAAGCUGUUUCUUUACCAAAUCAAUAGUAAUAGGAGUCAUCUCAUUACUGGGUGUUUUGAAAGGAACUGUAUUAUCUGUUUUUUGAGACUUGGCUUCCGAUGAUCCAUACGCAGCAUAAGUGUAUGGAAUGCCGUACGACGAACCAUAAGACAAUGUCUGGUAAGUGUUCUGGUAGUACAGAUUAUUCACUUCAGCAGGCUGACUUGGUUGAACCUGAAGUAUGUUGAUUCCUUUCCGUAUCUGUUCUUGCUCCCAUCUACUGAGUUCCUCAUCUUGUUCCCCUGCCACCAGCGCCUCAUCAUCACUCCCCUCAAUACCUAUUUCCUCAGCAAUCUUUUGCCUUUGGGAUUUUUCCUUCACUGUAAAAACUAUCCUCCUCUUCUCGUCAUCAUCUUCAUCAUCACUGGCAUCAUUUUCAUCUUCUCGAACAAGGCGGCUUUUACCUGGUUCACUGUCAACAGGAGUAAAGUCUCCAAGUUCACGAGCCAUUUGACGCUUUUUC